AAAAAAGCAAUGCAACUGCUAAGGGAAGUCACCACAUAUAUGCAGUAUUGGUUGGUUUAUUCUCAUCAAUUACUGGUGGAAUCAGUUACUGCCUUAUAAAGGCUGGAGCAAAGGCAUCUGAUCAACCUGUGGCCACUGUUUUUUCAUUUGGCUUACUCUCUAGCCCUGCUGCGGGAAUAUGUACAUUUGCUUUUGAGGAAUUUGUGGUGCCAGAUUUUUAUUCAUUCACUUUUAUGCUUCUACUGGGU
Molecule: unclassified non-coding RNA, 248 nt
Filed under: Hevea brasiliensis (rubber tree)
Lineage: Eukaryota; Viridiplantae; Streptophyta; Magnoliopsida; Malpighiales; Euphorbiaceae
Source: RNAcentral